Molecule: ribosomal RNA, 253 nt
Filed under: uncultured Eubacteriales bacterium
Lineage: Bacteria; Bacillati; Bacillota; Clostridia; Eubacteriales
Description: uncultured Clostridiales bacterium partial 16S ribosomal RNA
Rfam family: Bacterial small subunit ribosomal RNA
Source: RNAcentral
UACGUAUGGAGCAAGCGUUAUCCGGAUUUACUGGGCGUAAAGGGAGCGUAGGCGGCCUGCCAAGUCUGAUGUGAAAUCCCGGGGCUCAACCCCGGAACUGCUUUUAAAACUGCUGUGCUUGAGUGAUGGAGAGGAAAGCGGAAUUCCUAGUGUAGCGGUGGAAUGCGUAGAUAUUAGGAGGAACACCAGAGGCGAAGGCGGCUUUCUGGACAUUAACUGACGCUGAGGCUCGAAAGCGUGGGGAGCAAACAGG